This 1055-nucleotide ribosomal RNA is filed under the name Jaspis sp. Po.25931. RNAcentral's name for it is "SSU rRNA". It matches the Rfam family "Eukaryotic small subunit ribosomal RNA", at positions 50 to 1102 of the family's 1831-position model. The record is from RNAcentral. Lineage: Eukaryota; Metazoa; Porifera; Demospongiae; Tetractinellida; Ancorinidae.
CCUGCAUGUCUAAGUAUAAACGCUUCUAUACUGUGAAACUGCGAAUGGCUCAUUAAAUCAGUUAUAGUUUAUUUGAUGGUUCCUUGCUACUUGGAUAACCGUAGUAAUUCUAGAGCUAAUACAUGCAGAAAGUCCCGACUCCUGGAAGGGAUGUAUUUAUUAGAUCCAAAACCAGCGCGAGUUUCCCUCGUGGGACUCGGUUGCUCGGUGAUUCAUGAUAACUGCUCGAAUCGCAGGGCCUGUGUGCCGGCGAUGAUGCAUUCAAAUUUCUGCCCUAUCAACUUUCGAUGGUAGGGUAGUGGCCUACCAUGGUUGCAACGGGUGACGGAGAAUUAGGGUUCGAUUCCGGAGAGGGAGCCUGAGAAACGGCUACCACUUCUAAGGAAGGCAGCAGGCGCGCAAAUUACCCAAUCCCGACUCGGGGAGGUAGUGACAAUAAAUAACAAUGCCGGGCUCUUGUAGUCUGGCAAUUGGAAUGAGUACAAUCUAAACCCCUUAACGAGGAACAAUUGGAGGGCAAGUCUGGUGCCAGCAGCCGCGGUAAUUCCAGCUCCAAUAGCGUAUAUUAAAGUUGUUGCAGUUAAAAAGCUCGUAGUUGGAUUUCGGGGCGGCCCGGCUGGUCCGCCGCGAGGCGAGUACUGGUCGGGCGCCCUUCCUCUCGAAGGCCCCGACUGCUCUUUACUGCAGUGGUCGGGGAGUUCGGGACGUUUACUUUGAACAAAUUAGAGUGUUCAAGGCAGGCCGUCGCCUGAAUACGUUAGCAUGGAAUAAUGGAAGAGGACCUCGGUCCUAUUUUGUUGGUUUCCAGGGCCGAAGUAAUGAUUAAGAGGGACAGUUGGGGGCAUUCGUAUUUAAUUGUCAGAGGUGAAAUUCUCGGAUUUAUGAAAGACGAACAACUGCGAAAGCAUUUGCCAAGGAUGUUUUCAUUAAUCAAGAACGAAAGUUGGGGGUUCGAAGACGAUCAGAUACCGUCGUAGUCCCAACCAUAAACUAUGCCGACUAGGGAUCGGCGGAUGUUAGUGUUUGACUCCGUCGGCACCUUAUGAGAAAUCAAA